This 183-nucleotide non-coding RNA is filed under the name Filifactor alocis. RNAcentral describes it as "6S RNA". It matches the Rfam family "6S / SsrS RNA". From Rfam's summary of the family: E. coli 6S RNA was the first non coding RNA to be sequenced, but its function was unknown until recently. It consists of 184 nucleotides that fold into an extended hairpin structure with a large single-stranded internal bulge. Lineage: Bacteria; Bacillati; Bacillota; Clostridia; Peptostreptococcales; Filifactoraceae. The record is from RNAcentral. RNAcentral also lists the same sequence under 1 other name.
AGCAAUCUGGGAUGUGCGUUUGUGCCUAUAAAUUCAACCGACAUUAUUAUUUAGGGAGCUCGAUUGUAGUUUUAUCAAAUGACCUGCCUUCUUGAAAGGACUUCAGCGAUAAUGUGCAGGGCACCCACCUGAGUUGAACUCGGGCGUGAAUUUGCAGGUAUGUGACGGCAUUCUGGAUUUUUG